CCUGUCCUGUCUCACAGACAGACCUGCUGCUUCUGACCCUUAAAUUCCCUCAUCUUGGUCUCCAACUCUACAGUUUACACAUGAAGACCACUCAUCAAUACAUCAGCUGGGAGGGAGUGAUUUCCAAUAGUGAAAGAGCACGGUGCUUCUGGCUUUGAAGGCGAUGGCAAGCACAGGUAUUUUUUUCAAAAAAAGAGAUACAUGUAAAGAUGUUAAAAGCUAGAAAAAAAUACCGCAAGAAUCUUCUCAACCCAUGCACCUUUCUUUCUUCUGCUAGAGGACCAGAAGAUAACACUGGAAGUUGUUCCUCAGAAGCAUGUUUCCCAGGUGGAGAUUCUCAAUGCUACCUCUCCAUCUCUCUCCACUUUGACCUCAUUACCUCCUGUCUGGGAUGCUCUCUCCACCUCAUGCCUGGCCUUGCCCUUACUUAUAUCAGCCUCUGUGGAAAAGAAUAGAGGUGAAAAAUCCACAUAUCAAAGAGGCUAAUGAACCCCUUCAAAACUGCACAGCCAACAAGAAGCAGGAUCUGAUCUCCAGCUGUAUUUGCCUAAUGUACUAGAACUCCACAUUCCUAGAUUUCUACCUCUCAGCUGCCCUCCCUCCCUUCUUCCUUCCCUCCCUCCCUUUAGUAUGCGUGUGUGAUUGUGUGCACAUGCACAUGAAGGUACACAUGACUAUACACAUGUAUAUGGAGGCCAGAGGAAAAUAUCCAGUGGCCUGCUCCAUCAGUCUCUGCCAUAUUCUUCUGAGGCAGGUCCACCAACUGAUCUUUGUGCAAACAGUAGUCACUGAGGAUGUGCCUGUGUCUGCUCUGCACAGUACUGGGGAUAUGAGCAGGCCUGGCCAAGUUCAGCUUGCUUUAUAUGAGUACUGAGGACCCAAACUCAGCCACUCAUGAAUAAGCAUUCUUACCUACUAAACUGUCUCUCCAAACCUCAUAUUUCAUUUUAUUAUGGAGAGUACAAAUGUUAUUAUCAAUGGAGUCACAUGUCUCUGGAUCUAUCUGUGGACUCAUCUGUGUACAUUCAAUCAUACCUGUGCACGAGUGCGUGCACACACACACACACACCAUUGUAAACACUGCUUGUGGAUGUUGAUCUUCACAGUACAGGUAGUCAUGAUGGGUUCCAAUCAACAUGGACAUUGUCUGAGGCUGAAAUGGUAAGGUAGAAUUAUUACUUUAUAAUAAACAUAGUUCAUCAAUAGUCA
RNAcentral lists this long non-coding RNA (1209 nucleotides) under Mus spicilegus (steppe mouse). Its description in RNAcentral is "lncRNA (ENSMSIG00000004414.1)". The record is from RNAcentral. Lineage: Eukaryota; Metazoa; Chordata; Mammalia; Rodentia; Muridae.